UCUUCCUUUCCAAGGUUAGCUGAAUGUGGUAUCUGUGGCACAUUAUGCUUGCAAGGGUUUAUCAUUAAAAAAUUUCCAAUGGCACCUAGUGUAUGUGAAUAUAUGAUUUUUUUCACUAUAUGAUUAACUCCUAGUGUUGAUUGACGCUACACUUGUAUACUUGUUAACCACGUCUUCACAUUCAUAGUCUUGGAUUAGGAACAGGCUACAUGUAUUCAUGGUACCCUUCAGGCAAAACCAAUCCAUUUAGCGGUUCCUCUAAUGCUCUUUCAUAGA
This 276-nucleotide long non-coding RNA is filed under the name Phoenix dactylifera (date palm). RNAcentral's name for it is "long non-coding RNA (PDAC_LNC019316)". The record is from RNAcentral. Lineage: Eukaryota; Viridiplantae; Streptophyta; Magnoliopsida; Arecales; Arecaceae.